RNAcentral lists this ribosomal RNA (3332 nucleotides) under Triticum aestivum (bread wheat). RNAcentral describes it as "partial small subunit ribosomal RNA". Lineage: Eukaryota; Viridiplantae; Streptophyta; Magnoliopsida; Poales; Poaceae. The record is from RNAcentral.
CUCUCCGAGUGUUCACCUAGUUCAACACACGUGCCCUUUAAGUCCUAGGUAGAAAGGUUGGCGGGUGGUUGGGUGAUAAGGAAAGAGCUGUCCACCCGGGCCUACGAAAUCUACGCCCAGGAGUAGUAGACUAAAAAGAGGCUCUUUACUCGCUAAAUACAUAAAUGGACGUGAAUUAACUAUAUAAAAGAGUGGUAAAAGGAAAAAGAUUCCAGAAGAGGACGAGCAGCAGCAGCAGCAGAAGAGGAGAGCGGACGGACGCGCCGGGCUGGUUAUCUGGCUGGCCCUCUCACCUUCGUCGUCGGCCGCGCCGAUUGCCCGAUACCGCCCUCGCCGGCCCUCCCUCUCCCUGGGCGAGGAGGCGAGGCUCUAGGUGCCGAAGUAGUGGAUGCGUCUGAACUUAAAGCUCUUCGACUUUCGUCUCCGGCGCAGCGCGACCAAGGCCGGCUUACUCUAGAUGCGCCAGGACCGGUUGGUGCUCUCCAAGUUCCAGGUACGUGUCGGGUAGCUGUUCGGGCACUCACCAUGAUAACAAGAUAUACUAGCGUUUCAACAGGCCUUGAAGGCCUUCCUACCGGUAUUAACCUUCUUUUUCUUCCUACCGUUUUGACAGGUUCUUCGGGUACUUUUUAAUUUCUAACCAUUACUUCUCUCCCAAGUACAGAUAAUACGAGCUCCACUCCUAUUAGGUUUAAAGAAAUCUUCCACGAUGACCGACGAACUGUUUCUCCGACUUGCCUAACAAGAACACGUAAUAGCAGUUUGUAGACUCCUUUUACGGUAUCGUGUAGGCUCGUGUCUUCGGCUUCGGCUUCGCGGAUGUUACUUACACUAAGUUAUAAUAUGAAGAGGCUAAAGUCGUUUAAGUCGGAGUCAAGUAUGGCUCUAUAGCAAGAGGGGAGGCCGUGGUCUCCUUUAAUUGAGUGUACCACCGUCACGUUAAAGAUCACUAUGACCACCGAGAUCAGACCUUCUCAAGACCCAAGUAGAUAACCUCAGUAGAUACUGUUUCCUAUGACGAACACCGCGUAGGCACCGUAAAUCAGUCGUCUAAUUUACGCCUUGUUUCCUAAGACCUUUACUGUGCCUGAGAUGUUUAUUACAUGUACACUUGGUGCGGCCUCGAGACCUUGUAGUUCAUCUGGUUAGAGUUAUGGGAAAUUGUAGUCUAGAGCUAAGAGUCAGUGUAGUUAAACGUUGAAGAAACGCCUUUUGAGGUCACCUACCACUGUAAGGAUUACUACACGGACGAUCUCUCUUGUCAGAACCUGACACCUUCAUGAACCUACUACUGUCAGGAACAGAUCCCCUAUUAUAUCACUCGUUACCUUUUUAGAAGUUGUAGUGACUAAAGAGGGGUCUUACCCGAACAAGGUGUCUCGUAUGGUUCUAGAACCACUAGCCCCUAAUGAUACUCGUUAUGUUCGUAGACCGACCAAGGUUAUAAAUGCCAUAGAAACCACUAUUGACACAACGGCGUUUGUACCAGGUUUGACCACAAAUGGCAAAGUACCAACCUGGUGUAUGUCGACCUGCUCACCUAAAAAUAAACUGAAACCUACCCUUUUGUGGUUAGAGACUCCAAAACUUAAAACUCAUAGCAUCACACGGACCUUCAAGUAACGUAUCACUCAAUUUCGGCGACCUUCUACUCAUGUGUUUCAGUUUCGAAGUUUACGUCUACUCUGAUCGAGCAAACGACAAACACUGUUUGUUCUUUUUCUAUCGUGGUUUCGAAGAACACCUUCCGUCGUUUCAAAGAUUAGAGUAUAACCGUAGUGGUCUCUUCCUUACCUACCUAGAUACCUUUUAACGACCGCUAAGACUUCCGUGUAGACAAGUACGAUGACUUCUGAACGAACUUAAUCAAAAUGCCUUAUCUAACGUUCUUACCGAAGAGCUUUCUCAUUAACCUCCGGUAUUUAGUUGGCCGGCACUACUAGAUCCUGUUCCUGGAUAGGUAGACACAAGAAAGGAUCCGAUAUGAACCCGAUAGGCGAACAAAAGACACAGGCCUAAGAGGAACCUAAAGGCACUAAGAAGACCAACCUGACGAAAUGUGACCCGACGUAUGGUGCCUUCCCUUUUUUACCAACGACGAGACAAUAGACGACCUCGUUUAGGUUCGAACCAAUGCCUAGGAUGACGUCACAGGGGACCACCUACGUGAGGACGACUAGACCGUCGUUCUGUUCCAAUACACCCGAAUCGACGUAUAGAACGACUCUUUCCUAACUGACGUGUAAAACUUAGUUACAGUGACAGGUUCCCAUGAUUCGUUAGUGGUAGUUCCUGCUUUGAUUGUUUUCAUGUGUCGCUCUUCAAACUCUUGGAAUGACUUGUUCUUGAAACGAAUUUUCUUAGGAAUCGCCGGAUAGCUUUACGACGACUGCGACGGUCAUUAUAGGUUCGACGUGAAGCGCUAUCUUGAGAAUUUGAGGUUUGUUUUCGUUAAGAAAACCGGUUAGGACUCUACGUUCGUUGACGCUAUCAACGACGAUACUCCUAAGUCGUACGUAAGGCCUUGAUGUUGUCUUUUUUUCUCUACUCUCGACGACGUGCUUAUGUUUUAGUAAAGGCGUGCACCUUCCAGUCUUCCUUGAAAUUCUUGUACGCUUCUGUUCGAUAGUCUUAUGUUCGACGUAUGGCUCCGGUAGUUCACUCUGCAGUCAUGGCGUUCCAUUAUACCAGACAACCUCAGCACCUCUUUCGAUAAAACGCUACCUCUUUCUUCUCUUUUCCGAACGCGCCGUAACGUUUACCUUACGGUCGUCUUUACUGUCACCUACAUCUUCGACGUUCGUGACGUCUUCUUCCAAAGAAGGUCCGGUCGGCCGUUGUUCGCCUCCUGUCCAAAUUAUCUAGUCACCAUGCACAAGUCCGAGACAAAGCAACAGUAGCCCGUGUCGUACUCAUGGCCUCCUACUCCUAACGAGUACUCCUCCGGUUCGACCUCAAGUCAUUUCCCGUCGUCGUCCGCGGCCGUACGUCCUCCACUUCACCGAAGAUCCCCGGUACAUUAAGAACAUAACAUGUAAUUCUUUUUAGUAUUGAACGAUUACGACGGGAUGUAAAAUCCUGGUAGAAUAACUAGGAAAACCGGCUUAGACCACAUACAUAAACGACGAUCGUACAAUGACACCAAACGUUAAACGGACCAAAAUCGAUAUACCGUAACACGAACAUCCACGUACAUCUACGACCAUGCCUAGUACAACAUUUCCGAUUGUUAUUCACGAUGGACCCGGUUUCUGGUUUAUCCUUAAAAUGGAAUGCAAAGUACCUAAGAAAGUACAAAUACCAAUUAAACCACCAGGUGUCCUUGUUUAAGG